Molecule: non-coding RNA, 75 nt
Organism: Myotis lucifugus (little brown bat)
Lineage: Eukaryota; Metazoa; Chordata; Mammalia; Chiroptera; Vespertilionidae
Source: Rfam
UGCGGUUCUCGGGUGAUGCACCCCAGAAUUGGGCUCCCUCCUCUCUGGUUCUGGGUGCGUCACCCUAGAACCGCA